CCUAAACCCCCCCCCAAAAUACCAUUAAUUUUCAUGAACCCCUAAUUUAUAAUGAAUGACUCCAUAUUUAUAUGGAAGACACCAUGCUAGGAUUAGUAACAAGAAUUUAUAAUUCUCCAAAAUGCAAAUAUAAACCAACAUGGAUAGACCAUUGGUAGUUACCGAACCUAAAUUUACUGCAAUAACACCCACAAGAAAACUCUGCAGUACUUACUCGUUAACCUAACACCAGCGCAUUACAGGAAAGAUUAAAAAAAAGAGAAGGAAUUCGGCAAAUGACGGCCCCGCCUGUUUACCAAAAACAUCGCCUCUUGACUUAUAAUAAGAGGUCCAGCCUGCCCAGUGAAUUUUAAACGGCCGCGGUAUCCUAACCGCGCGAAGGUAGCAUAAUCACUUGUUCUUUAAAUGGGGACUCGUAUCAACGGCAUCACGAGGGUUUUACUGUCUCCUCUUUUUGAUCAGUGAAAUUGAUCUUCCCGUGAAGAAGCGGGGAUAUUUUUAUAAGACGAGAAGACCCCAUGGAGCUUAAAACCAAAUAACAACUUAACUACUUAUCCCACAAUAAAUUUAAGCCCUGUUAUAAGGUUUUUGGUUGGGGUGACCGCGGAGUAAAGCACAUCCUCCACGACGGAAAGAACAUAAUCUUUAUUUAAGAACCACACUUCUAGAAAUUAGUAUACUAACGUUUACUGACCCGACAAUCGAUCAACGGACCAAGUUACCCUGGGGAUAACAGCGCAAUCUACUUCAAGAGCUCAUAUCGACAAGUAGGCUUACGACCUCGAUGUUGGAUCAGGGUAUCCCGGUGGUGCAGCCGCUACCGAAGGUUCGUU
This 833-nucleotide ribosomal RNA is filed under the name Polypedates leucomystax (Java whipping frog). RNAcentral's name for it is "partial 16S ribosomal RNA". It matches the Rfam family "Bacterial large subunit ribosomal RNA", at positions 1181 to 2577 of the family's 2925-position model. The record is from RNAcentral. Lineage: Eukaryota; Metazoa; Chordata; Amphibia; Anura; Rhacophoridae.